This 305-nucleotide ribosomal RNA is filed under the name uncultured bacterium. RNAcentral's name for it is "bacterial SSU rRNA". It matches the Rfam family "Bacterial small subunit ribosomal RNA", at positions 338 to 635 of the family's 1533-position model. The record is from RNAcentral.
CCUACGGGACGCAGCAGUAGGGAAUCUUCCACAAUGGACGAAAGUCUGAUGGAGCAACGCCGCGUGAGUGAAGAAGGGUUUCGGCUCAUAAAGCUCUGUUGGUAGUGAAGAAAGAUAGAGGUAGUAACUGGCCUUUAUUUGACGGUAGUUACUUAGAAAGUCACGGCUAACUACGUGCCAGCAGCCGCGGUAAUACGUAGGUGGCAAGCGUUGUCCGGAUUUAUUGGGCGUAAAGCGAGUGCAGGCGGUGCGAUAAGUCUGAUGUGAGAGCAUUCGGCUCGACCGGCGAAAUGCAGCAGAAAAUG